This is a long non-coding RNA of Malania oleifera, 587 nucleotides long. RefSeq lists it as uncharacterized. The transcript has 2 exons. The record is from RefSeq and is a predicted model, not a curated record. Lineage: Eukaryota; Viridiplantae; Streptophyta; Magnoliopsida; Santalales; Ximeniaceae.
GGCAGUGUACCAAAAAAAAACAAAACCCCUUUUGCCUUUGGAACCAAAAAAUCAAAUACAAAAUCAAGCAAGAAAUUGGUGAUGGACUGAAAACCCUUUUUCCAGUUUGACUUUUAGCAGCCCUUUGAUGAAGAGAUAGACAUUAUUGAUGAUGCUCGAUGCUUGAUGCUUGAUGCUCUAUCAUUAAUACAUGUGCCCUUGGCUGGCUAGAGUUCGUAAUCAUUAAGGACAGGACGACUGCAGCCUAUCACCAGCUCUGGGAAUGGGGAGAAGCAGGUGAACAGUGUUCUAUGGUGUCCCUUUGGGCUGGGUACAAGAAGCACGGUACAGAUGGACUAAGCGCAUGAAAUAAAGAUCAGCGAGUAAAAUAAAGAGUGGAGGGAAAGAAAGCCUGACACCCUGUUGUUUCAAAUGGAUGGUGAAGCACUAAUACGAGGAUACUGUGUUAUCCAUGUAUAACCCAACUAGGUUCAUUUCAAGCAGCAGAAUCAAUUGCUUCUUACUUGUUUCUUCUCUCAAAAAGAAAAAUUAUUUAUUUAGUUAAAUGAAGAGAAUCAUAAAAAAUCAAAGUGAAGAAUUCAAUUCCA